Molecule: ribosomal RNA, 348 nt
Filed under: uncultured bacterium
Lineage: Bacteria
Description: bacterial SSU rRNA
Rfam family: Bacterial small subunit ribosomal RNA
Source: RNAcentral
GGACCCGCACAAGUAGUGGAGCAUGUGGUUUAAUUCGAUGCAACGCGAAGAACCUUACCAGGGUUUGACAUCCUGCGAAUCUCUUGGAAACAGGAGAGUGCCUUCGGGAACGCAGUGACAGGUGGUGCAUGGCUGUCGUCAGCUCGUGUCGUGAGAUGUUGGUUAAGUCCCGCAACGAGCGCAACCCACGUCUUUAGUUGCCAUCAUUUAGUUGGGCACUCUAGAGAGACUGCCGGUGAUAAACCGGAGGAAGGUGUGGAUGACGUCAAGUCAUCAUGCCCCUUACAUCCUGGGCUACACACGUACUACAAUGCUACGGACAAAGGGCAGCAAGUUCGCGAGGACAAG